Molecule: RNA transcript, 2416 nt
Organism: Setaria italica (foxtail millet)
Lineage: Eukaryota; Viridiplantae; Streptophyta; Magnoliopsida; Poales; Poaceae
Gene name: fructokinase-like 1, chloroplastic
Exons: 3
Source: RefSeq, a predicted model, not a curated record
GUCGAGUCGAACGCUCGUCGCCGUCCCCCUUCCUUCCUCACCUCGACCAAAUAGGAGCGGCAAUGGCCAUGGCCACCCCCGCCUUCCUCCUACCAGCGCUGUUCCCCAAGCCCAAUUUCCUCGCCGCACCUCUCCAUCCAAGUCUCCCACGAGGCCGCCAACUCCGCUGCUCGCCCAACGGCGCCGCCGUGCCGGAAUCCCCUAAACCCGCUUCUCGCCGCGGCCGCAAGAAGUCCCCGUCCCCGUCCCCGUCCCCGUCGGCGCCGAAGGCGAAGGCCACGAGGCGGAGAACCAAGAAGGAGGGCCAGGAGUCAGACUCGGAGGGCCAAGAGGAGCCGGCGAAGCGGACCAGCCGCCGGACAAGGAAGUCCAAGGAAGAGACCAAGCAGGAGGAGAUUGUGGCGCAGAUGGCGAGCGACGGAACUGAGGAGACGAGUCAAGAGUCCGAGGAGGAGGAUGGGUUGGAGGUGGGGGGCGACUACGACGACGCGGAGGAUUUCGCGAACGAUUGGCCUCCGCUGGUGUGCUGCUUCGGCGCGCCGCGUUGGGAGUUCGUGCCCACGGUGCGGGUGUCGGACCGGCAGAUGCACCCCGAUCAGUACUCCACGUGGCUGCACCUGCAAUGGGAGCCGCCGGAGUUCGCGCGCGCGCCGGGUAGCGCGGCGAGCAACGUGGCCAUCGCGCACACCCGGCUCGGAGGGCGCGCCGCGGUGCUGGGCAAGGUCGGGGACGACGACUUCGGCCGCGAGCUUGUGUACCGUAUGAACUGCGAGCGGGUACAGACACGCGCCAUCAAGUUCGACGGCAAAGCAGCCACGGCCAUGGCGCGCAUGAAGGUGAGCUUCCGGGACCGGGAGGAUGGCAAGGGCGGCACCAAGCUUGUGGCCGAGACGGUGAAGAGCGCUGCCGAGGACUCCCUCCGCAAGAACGAGAUCAAUGUCGAUGUGUUGAAAGAGGCCAGAAUGUUCCAUUUCAGUUCAGAAGUUCUGUUAAAUCCCUCAAUGCAUGAUACACUCUUCAGAGCCAUUGAAAUGUCCAAGAAAUUUGGAAGUAAAGUAUUCUUCGAUCUGAAUUUGCCAUUGCCAUUGUGGACAUCAAGGGAUGAGACAAAGGAGGUGAUAAAUAGGGCAUGGAAAGAGGCUGAUAUAAUAGAGCUGUCAAGGGACGAGCUUGAAUUCCUCCUUGAUCAUGAGUAUUAUGAAUACAAGAGAAGGACUCCACCUCAGUAUUAUCUGGAAGGAUUCCAUUUUACAAGAAACUGGCCACAGUACUACCACUACAGCCCUGAAGAGAUCGCUCCUAUUUGGCAUGAUGGAAUAAAGGUCCUGCUUGUGACCUACGGGACACUUCGGAUCCACUACUACACGCCCAAGUUUCAUGGCUGUGUGGUUGGGACAGAGGAUGCACUCAUAACUCCAUACACCACUGACCGAACAGGUUCUGGGGAUGCUGUUGUUGCUGCUGCUAUUAGGAAGUUGAUAACUUGUCCUGAGAUGUACGAGGACCAGGAUACAUUGGAGAGGCAACUGAGAUUUGCUGUUGCUGCUGGAAUCAUAUCACAGUGGACAAUUGGUGCUGUGCGAGGGUUUCCCACUGAGAGUGCCGCCCAGAACUUGAAGGAACAAGUCUAUGUGCCUUCUAUGUGGUGAAAUGGUAAAUCAUUUGCCAAGACAUGAACAACAUAUUAAAUACAAGCAUACUUCAAGAAUGGUCUAACAGAAUUGAACAAGGGAUUUUUUUUUCUUUUACCACAAGAGAGCUACAGGCGCAAUUUAUAUGCACGGAUUGCUCAGGUCUAUGGUUGCUUUAGUUAGGCGGCAGAAAGGCAGGGUCCUUGCUUCAAAUUGUCAAAUCUGCAACAAACUCUUUUUUGCCCGUAGCACUACUAGGGUACUUCGUGGGGUAGGAUGGGUUGAUGCAAACUCUCACUUUAUGUCCAUUCAUUUUUAGCUCUUGUUUUCAUUCUCUCUUUAUUUCUUCUUUUUUGAAGACUCAUGUAGAAUUUUGGAGGUUUAAGGAUUAGGUAGCGUUAGGAAACACCAAAAUUUUGUCCACGCGCAGGAUUCUGAUCUUCUCUGGAUAUGUGUCUUGACUCUCCAAUGGCAACUUGUCUGUAGUCUCAUGAUGUAACUGUCAGCACUGUAGCUUGCCAGCUUGUUUAUCAUCUGCUUGUUCUGCCUAUGCAUGUACGAUUUUGAACAACUGUUUUACAAUAACUCGUGAUUUGUAAAACAACUUUGCAACCAGGAGGGCAAAAUCUCAAGUGGUGGUUGACUUAUUAAUCAAGUGGUCAAAAGCACCUGGUUGUAGCGAAGUUGUACAAAAAAAUUGUAUGUCAACUUGUCAAGUAUUUCCUUUCAGGAAAUAUGAACUUCUGUGGAACACAUAUCAAUAUUAUUUCACUUAAAAUUUGUAA